UACGUAGGGUGCAAGCGUUAAUCGGAAUUACUGGGCGUAAAGCGUGCGCAGGCGGUUUUGUAAGUCUGACGUGAAAUCCCCGGGCUCAACCUGGGAAUUGCGUUGGAGACUGCAAGGCUAGAAUCUGGCAGAGGGGGGUAGAAUUCCACGUGUAGCAGUGAAAUGCGUAGAGAUGUGGAGGAACACCGAUGGCGAAGGCAGCCCCCUGGGUCAAGAUUGACGCUCAUGCACGAAAGCGUGGGGAGCAAACAGC
RNAcentral lists this ribosomal RNA (253 nucleotides) under uncultured bacterium. RNAcentral describes it as "partial 16S ribosomal RNA". It matches the Rfam family "Bacterial small subunit ribosomal RNA", at positions 524 to 776 of the family's 1533-position model. The record is from RNAcentral.